RNAcentral lists this ribosomal RNA (460 nucleotides) under uncultured bacterium. RNAcentral's name for it is "partial 16S ribosomal RNA". It matches the Rfam family "Bacterial small subunit ribosomal RNA", at positions 338 to 795 of the family's 1533-position model. The record is from RNAcentral.
CCUACGGGUGGCAGCAGUGAGGAAUAUUGGUCAAUGGACGAGAGUCUGAACCAGCCAAGUAGCGUGAAGGAUGACUGCCCUAUGGGUUGUAAACUUCUUUUAUAAAGGAAUAAAACGAGGCACGUGUGCCUUUUUGCAUGUACUUUAUGGAUAAGGAUCGGCUAACUCCGUGCCAGCAGCCGCGGUAAUACGGAGGAUCCGAGCGUUAUCCGGAUUUAUGGGGUUUAAAGGGAGCGUAGAUGGGUUGUUAAGUCAGUUGUGAAAGUUUGCGGCUCAACCGUAAAAUUGCAAUUGAUACUGGUAGUCUUGAGUACAGUUGAGGUAAGCGGAAUUCGUGGUGUAGCGGUGAAAUGCUUAGAUAUCACGAAGAACCCCGAUUGCGAAGGCAGCUUACUAAACUGUGACUGACAUUGAUGCUCGAAAGUGUGGGUAUCAAACAGGAUUAGAUACCCUUGUAGUC